Molecule: long non-coding RNA, 423 nt
Filed under: Mytilus galloprovincialis (Mediterranean mussel)
Lineage: Eukaryota; Metazoa; Mollusca; Bivalvia; Mytilida; Mytilidae
Source: RNAcentral
GUCCUCAGGAACGAGAGCCAAGGAUAAGUGACUCUUCUUAUAGCACAAGUAGGGAAACAAGUCAAUUGUUUAUUAACCCUACUGAGUACUUCAGUUUUAUAUCAAAACAUUUUGAAGAAAUCAUCUAUUGAAAUCUUUUUUUGAAAUAUUUAUGUUAAUAAAUAAAAGUCUAUUUUGAUUAUUCAUCACGAUAAAUGUUUAAGAGCUUGUUACAUUAAAAUUUCUAAAAUGUCGAUCUUUUAAAUGCUGCAUAACGAUAAAAAAAAAACAAUGGAAAAUUCAGAAUAUAUUUAAUUUUUUUUUUGUAGUCACCCAUUUCCGAAGUACCUUAACAUGUUAUAAUUUCCAAAAAUACCACUUCUCCAUAACUUAUUGAUGUAGCUUUUGGGGCAGUUACCAGAAUUUCAAUACAUGUUUAAAGGU